AUGCAAGUCUUAGCACAAGCCGUUAGUAUGGUAAAGCCGCGAAUAGCUCAUUACAACAGCCAUAGUUUACUAGAUAGUUCAUUACUACAUGGAUAACUGUGGUAAUUCUAGAGCUAAUACAUGCAACAAACGGCACCCUUAUGGGAGCCGCGCUUUUAUUAGAACAAAACCAAUCGCUUCAGUGCUUCGGCAUUGUUGCGUAAUUUGGUGAGUCUGAAUAACUUGGCAGAUCGCACGGUCUAGCACCGGCGACGAAUCUUUCAAAUGUCUGCCUUAUCAACUGUCGAUGGUAGUUUACAUGCCUACCAUGGUGAUAACGGGUAACAGAGAAUAAGGGUUUGACUCUGGAGAGGCAGCCUGAGAGACGGCUACCACAUCCAAGGAAGGCAGCAGGCACGCAAAUUACCCACUCUCAGAACGAGGAGGUAGUGACGAAAAAUAACGAGGUCGUUUCCUUAUGGAGCCGACCAUCGGAAUGGGUACAAUCUAAAUCCUUUAACGAGGAUCUAUUGGAGGGCAAGUCUGGUGCCAGCAGCCGCGGUAAUUCCAGCUCCAAUAGCGUAUAUUAAAGUUGUUGCGUUUAAAAAGCUCGUAGUUGGAUCUACGGCCUCGGCGGAUUGUCCCCCUAAUUGGGUGGUACUUUCUGACCAGGCCUUUUUUGUCGGUUUUCCCUUGGUGCUCUUAAUUGAGUGUCUUGGGUGGCUGACACGUUUACUUUGAAAAAAUUAGAGUUCUCAAAGCAGGAGAUUAAGCCUGAAUAGUGGUGCAUGGAAUAAUAGAAUAUGAUCCGCGUGGUCGUCGUGGCUUCGGCUAUGGCGAUCGCCUACGGUACUAUUUUGUUGGUUUUCGGUACACGGAUAAUGAUUAAGAGGGACAGACGGGGGCAUUCGUAUUGCGUGGUUAGAGGUGAAAUUCUUGGAUCCACGCAAGACGUACUACUGCGAAAGCAUUGCCA
Molecule: ribosomal RNA, 955 nt
Filed under: Bathylaimus australis
Lineage: Eukaryota; Metazoa; Nematoda; Enoplea; Enoplida; Tripyloididae
Description: SSU rRNA
Rfam family: Eukaryotic small subunit ribosomal RNA
Source: RNAcentral